This 274-nucleotide ribosomal RNA is filed under the name uncultured bacterium. RNAcentral describes it as "partial 16S ribosomal RNA". It matches the Rfam family "Bacterial small subunit ribosomal RNA", at positions 523 to 796 of the family's 1533-position model. The record is from RNAcentral.
AUACGGAGGGUGCAAGCGUUACUCGGAAUUACUGGGCGUAAAGGGCGCGUAGGCGGUUUGAUAAGUCAGAUGUGAAAGCCCGAGGCUUAACCUCGGAAGUGCAUUUGAAACUGUCAAACUUGAGUAUGGGAGAGGGAAGUGGAAUUCCUGGUGUAGAGGUGAAAUUCGUAGAUAUCAGGAGGAACACCGGUGGCGAAGGCGACUUCCUGGACCAAUACUGACGCUGAGGCGCGAAGGCGUGGGGAGCAAACAGGAUUAGAUACCCUAGUAGUCC